Molecule: long non-coding RNA, 1444 nt
Organism: Felis catus (domestic cat)
Lineage: Eukaryota; Metazoa; Chordata; Mammalia; Carnivora; Felidae
Exons: 3
Source: RefSeq, a predicted model, not a curated record
UGAAGUCGGGCGCUUAACCGACUGAGCCACCCAGGAGCCGCAUCUUUUCACAUGCUUUAAGGCGACUUAGGAUGAGGAAAAGUUCCUGAUUGAGUGCCAUCAUAUUUAUCUAUCUACUUUAUCGUAUGGGGAGAUUUGUUUAUUUCUAAGUCCAUCCUGCCCCUUUGCUGAUAUCUUGGAUCCAGUCACAGAGACUUGAGUGAUACCUUCAUUGAAGCAUUUCCAUUCCUGUGUCUUCUCUACCCCAUGGAGAAAUGAGCCUGCCACUUCCAUUUAUCAUAAAAGUCCUUAUUCAAUCAAAAAUAAAACACAAUCAUUGGAUUGGAUUAAUUAGGGUUCAAGAAGGCAGGAAUCCCUGGCAAUGGCUGGAUGGCUCACCCCUAUCUCAGCAGCUGAAUUUCCAACAGAGUUUAUCUCCUGUGAAAUGUGGACACAUGAGACCAUCAACAAUUUAUACCGCUGACUGUAGUAACCAUUUCCGUUACAUUUGUGAAAAGGAGUUCUCUGGCCCUGAUAAUUAAAGAAGUGCUGUGAUCAAAUAUUCACUAUUUUCAUUCUUUAACAGCUGUAAGGAAAAACACAGGGUAUUCACUCAAAUUAGUCAACUACGCGUGGUGUAUGAAGGAUUAUGAUCUUUCACACAUCCCUCAGCAUGGAUAAAAGAGUAAGUUUUAGAAAUAGUAAAAUCAGCCAUCCAAAAAUGAAGCUUUUUUUUUGAAAUUUCAAGAACCAUUCCAUCAGAGAAUGUGAAAAAGUUUGAGUGUAAGACUUUACAUUUAAAAUAUAACUAAAUGAUCUUGAUUUAGAUAGGUAGUGAAUACAUUUGCAAUGUUCACAGUGUAAGAGGUCCUAAACGAUGAACACAUCCUCUCAACCCAUCUUGUAUUCUGUUCACCUAGUUGCCACCUCAGAAGCACACAUGUAACUGGUUUAUAUAGUAUUCCAGAGGUAUUCUAAUGAAAUACAACUAUACACAGGCUGUCUGCUAAACAAAAUGUUAUGUGGCUACAAACGACAGUAACGAUCCUUUAUGUUUCUGUUGAAAAUGUACCAUGCGUGUGUUCCAUAUCAGUACAUAGGUAGCUGUAUUACUUUGUAUAAAUUUCUGCAAAUGUCACACUGAUAAACGUUUUAUUUCCAAUGGACGUCUAGGUUUGUCCCAGAAUUUUAGAAUUGUGUGAAUGAAAGCACUUAAUACAGUAUUACUUGCCAUAGAGCGUAUACAUAGGGUAAAUGUCUAGCAGUGUCAUUUCUAUGUCAAAAUGUGUCCACAUGAAAUUUGCAUACACGUUGAAUUUACAAUAGAUGCUCUACAUCUCUAUCUGCAGUCAGCAGCAUUCAAGAAUUCCUGCUUCCUCUCUUGGUUCCCACUGCAACGUGUUAUCAGUCUGUGAUUUUGCCAAUAAAAUCUUUAGCAAUUAAAAAAAAAUGUUUAUUUGAUUCA